Molecule: long non-coding RNA, 313 nt
Organism: Olea europaea var. sylvestris
Lineage: Eukaryota; Viridiplantae; Streptophyta; Magnoliopsida; Lamiales; Oleaceae
Exons: 4
Source: RefSeq, a predicted model, not a curated record
AAUUUUUUUUAUUGGCCAUGAUUGUGGCCAUGGGAGCUUCUCCGAGAAUCUCAAUCUCAAUAAUAUCAUGGGACACAUCUUGCAUUCUUCCAUUCUUGUACCGUACCAUGGAUGCAUUAUAAGAUAAUCAACCACAGGACUCACCAUCAAAAUCAUGGACAUGUUGAAAAUGACGAAUCAUGGGUACUGGUAAUGUUUUCCAUAGAUUCUUGAGCUUUUCUUGAUUCAUGGUUGCCAGAGAAGAUCUACAAGAAUCUGGAUUUGUCAAUCAAAUUCCUCAAAUAUGAAAUCCCUUUUCCCCUGUUUGCAUAUC